RNAcentral lists this long non-coding RNA (728 nucleotides) under Homo sapiens (human). Its description in RNAcentral is "LAMTOR5 and SLC16A4 antisense RNA 1". The record is from RNAcentral. Lineage: Eukaryota; Metazoa; Chordata; Mammalia; Primates; Hominidae.
ACUGCGCUUCCGUCGCACAGAGCCUGACGAAGGCUUGGGCUCCCCGCGCGGUGACCGUCGAGGUGACCUGCACCUGGCUCCAUGGCGGAACCGGCCGGCACGGAUUAUUCCCCUCUCGGGAGAGGUCUGCAGCCGGGCCUCAGUGCUUCAGUUCGUGGCCUGGCAUUUUGUGAAGAGUGUCUUCAUCUCUGCAUCCCUAGUGCAACAGAGCAUGACAAAAAUUCAACAAAUAUUUAUUGAAGAGUCUUGAUGUCUUUUGGGAAAGGAACUCUAUGGUUACCUUUACUCUAAGGCAUUGUGAAGACCCUGUUUCUCUAGCUGUGCAGCUGCAAGGUCACUAGGCAGAUAAACUCAAGCCAUAAAACAUGUUUUUCCUUGAAAAUUAAAAACAACAACAACAACAACAAAAACACAAAACCCUGAGGCUCAGAAGAUAAAUAUUUGCUGAAGAUCACUGUGCUUAUUAGAUGGGUGUUACUGAUUCUUACCUCAGAGAAGAGAAUGUCAUGGAGACAAAAUGACCUGCUUAGAGUUCUGCACCCCCCAGCAUGGAGAGCAGAGCGCAAAGAUUUCUUCCGGACUCCCACAUUCCCCUUGGAAUCCAAGAACUGGUCUACUGUCACAACACUUUAGUACCCUCUUGUAAGCCUGUGGACAAAUCCUCUGAUGCCUUGAUACCUCGGUUUUCCCCCACUAUAAAUGGGAAGAUAAAUUCACUAGAAACAGUA